This 658-nucleotide long non-coding RNA is filed under the name Oryctolagus cuniculus (rabbit). RNAcentral describes it as "lncRNA (ENSOCUG00000039567.1)". The record is from RNAcentral. Lineage: Eukaryota; Metazoa; Chordata; Mammalia; Lagomorpha; Leporidae.
AACUUCUGCACUAGUAAUAAGUGGUCAGUCCCUCCUUUAAACGUAGUCUGGAUAUUUGGUAAGCACAGGAACGGAUAAUCCCGUUCCAAGGGGCGGCGGCUCGGCUCCCGCCCGCAUCCGCGAGCGGGGCUCGGGGCGCGGGGGACGCGGGCUGCACCCGGGCGGCGGGGGCGCUGCGCCACCUCGAGGCCGGACCCUGCCGCCCGGGUCCUGGGUCCUGGUGCUGUCCCCCGGAGCGGACAGCGAGGCCGAGGCCCGCGGGAAGGCAGCCGGGCGCGCAGGGGCCGGGCGGCCGGCCUGCAGGCUGGCAGGGACGCGCUGGGGACCUGCGUGGGGAGCUAAGGGCCCAGCCCAAAGCAUAGUCAUCAUUUUUCUGGGCAAAUUAUCAAGACCAGCCUGUGUAUUUCAGCACCAGCCAGGAGCUGGAGGUAGGAGGUGAGUGGCUUGUACAUCAUCCCCAAAUUGACAUUUUCCACAGAUGAGCUCCAGUUAGCUGGUUAAAUUCUGCCAAGUUAUCAUUCUCACUUUUAAUGACUUCUUUAAUAAGACUUCUAAAGGGACCACCACGUAGAUGCUUCAAAAUGUGUUGCACAAUGCAAUGGGAAAGCCUUCUGCACCCUGAUAUGGAGAGAUCUGUAGAAUAGUUUAAGUGAGAAAG